Molecule: ribosomal RNA, 531 nt
Filed under: Triticum aestivum (bread wheat)
Lineage: Eukaryota; Viridiplantae; Streptophyta; Magnoliopsida; Poales; Poaceae
Description: partial small subunit ribosomal RNA
Source: RNAcentral
AUGCCUGCAGACAAGCACCAGGUGGCACCACUCAUUUCAAAACAUCUGCGCAUAGGAUAUCAACCACAGUUGUACCCUCCACAUGGAAAGCCAGGCCAGUUAGUGCUGGAUUUGAUGCAUGGCCCUGCCACAGCUUAUGCACGCGCUGUCCUGUCCACUGGAGUAACCAUGACGCUCGACAAAACUGAAGUUCUUCGUUACCCUGUAAAUGAUGUUGGCAUUCCAGAGGAGGAAAUGAUGUAUGAUUUUCUGAUUGAAGAAAGGAAGGCAAUAGUGAUAGAACAUCUAAAGAUAAAGAUCUAUGGAAUGCCUUUACAUCUUUGGACCAUAAGGGCAAUCGAGCGUGCACUGCAGCCACAUUGCAUUAUUGAGCAUGUUAGCCCAGCCAAUCUCAACUUCCGCAAGCUUCAAUCGAUAAGUUGCACAGCUUGGGCUAUCAGAACUCCUGUGCAAUUUCCAUGGUACAUACUCAUUCAUGUCUACAGCAAAUAUGACAAAGGAAAAAAAAUCAAAUCAGUGGCCAUAGAAUGA